GACGCUCAGGUGCGAAAGCGUGGGGAGCAAAACAGGAUUAGAUACCCUGGUAGUCCACGCCGUAAACGAUGUCAACUUGAAGUCUGUGCCAUAGAGCGUGGGCUUCGAAGCUAACGCGAUAAGUUGACCGCCUGGGGAGUACGGCCGCAAGGUUAAAACUCAAAUGAAUUGACGGGGGCCCGCACAAGCGGUGGAGCAUGUGGUUUAAUUCGAUGCAACGCGAAGAACCUUACCUGGCCUUGACAUGUCUGGAAUCCCUAAGAGAUUGGGGAGUGCCUUCGGGAAUCAGAACACAGGUGCUGCAUGGCUGUCGUCAGCUCGUGUCGUGAGAUGUUGGGUUAAGUUCCCGCAACGAGCGCAACCCUGUCCUUUGUUGCCAGCACGUAAUGGUGGGAACUCGAAAGGAGACUGCCGGUGAU
Molecule: ribosomal RNA, 419 nt
Filed under: uncultured bacterium
Lineage: Bacteria
Description: bacterial SSU rRNA
Rfam family: Bacterial small subunit ribosomal RNA
Source: RNAcentral